GACGAACGCUGGCGGCGUGCUUAACACAUGCAAGUCGAACGGAAAGGCCCUGCUUUUGUGGGGUGCUCGAGUGGCGAACGGGUGAGUAACACGUGAGUAACCUGCCCUUGACUUUGGGAUAACUUCAGGCAACUGGGGCUAAUACCUGAUAGGAGCUCCUGCUGCAUGGUGGGGGUUGGAAAGUUUCGGCGGUUGGGGAUGGACUCGCGGCUUAUCAGAUUGUUGGUGGGGUAGUGGCUUAGCAAGGCUUUGACGGGUAGCCGGGCUGAGAGGGUGAGCUGACACACUAGGACUGAGAUACGGCCCAGACUCCUACGGGAGGCAGCAGAGGGGAGUAGUGCAUAGUGGGCGGAAGGCUGGUGCAGCAACGCAGCGUGCGGGAUGACGGGAAUCGGGUUGUAAACCGAUUUCGCCUGUGACGAAGCGUGAGUGACGGUAAUGGGUAAAGAAGCACCGGCUAACUACGUG
RNAcentral lists this ribosomal RNA (468 nucleotides) under uncultured bacterium. RNAcentral describes it as "partial 16S ribosomal RNA". It matches the Rfam family "Bacterial small subunit ribosomal RNA", at positions 28 to 507 of the family's 1533-position model. The record is from RNAcentral.